This 500-nucleotide ribosomal RNA is filed under the name uncultured bacterium. RNAcentral's name for it is "partial 16S ribosomal RNA". It matches the Rfam family "Bacterial small subunit ribosomal RNA", at positions 30 to 523 of the family's 1533-position model. The record is from RNAcentral.
AUUGAACGCUGGCGGAAUGCUUUACACAUGCAAGUCGAACGGCAGCACGGACUUCGGUCUGGUGGCGAGUGGCGAACGGGUGAGUAAUGUAUCGGAACGUGCCCAGUCGUGGGGGAUAACGUAGUGAAAAUUACGCUAAUACCGCAUACGAUCUAUGGAUGAAAGCGGGGGAUGGCAAGACCUCGCGCGAUUGGAGCGGCCGAUAUCAGAUUAGGUAGUUGGUGGGGUAAAGGCCCACCAAGCCAACGAUCUGUAGCUGGUCUGAGGGGACGACCAGCCACACUGGAACUGAGACACGGUCCAGACUCCUACGGGAGGCAGCAGUGGGGAAUUUUGGACAAUGGGCGAAAGCCUGAUCCAGCCAUUCCGCGUGCAGGAUGAAGGCCCUCGGGUUGUAAACUGCUUUUGUACAGAACGAAAAGGUUUCUACUAAUACUAGGAGCUCAUGACGGUACUGUAAGAAUAAGCACCGGCUAACUACGUGCCAGCAGCCGCGGUAA